GACGAACGCUGGCGGCGUGCUUAACACAUGCAAGUCGAACGAUGAAGCCGGAGCUUGCUCCGGUGGAUUAGUGGCGAACGGGUGAGUAACACGUGAGCAAUCUGCCCUUGACUCUGGGAUAACUGCGGGAAACUGUAGCUAAUACCGGAUACGACACCUUGGGGCAUCCCAGGGUGUGGAAGGAAUUUCGGUCAAGGAUGAGCUCGCGGCCUAUCGGCUAGUUGGUGAGGUAAUGGCUCACCAAGGCGACGACGGGUAGCCGGCCUGAGAGGGUGACCGGCCACACUGGAACUGAGGCACGGUCCAGACUCCUACGGGAGGCGGCAGUGGGGAAUAUUGCACAAUGGGCGAAAGCCUGAUGCAGCAACGCCGCGUGAGGGAUGAAGGCCUUCGGGUUGUAAACCUCUUUUAGCAGGGAAGAAGCGAAAGUGACGGUACCUGCAGAAAAAGCACCGGCUAACUACGUGCCAGCAGCCGCAGUAA
Molecule: ribosomal RNA, 483 nt
Filed under: uncultured bacterium
Lineage: Bacteria
Description: partial 16S ribosomal RNA
Rfam family: Bacterial small subunit ribosomal RNA
Source: RNAcentral